Molecule: ribosomal RNA, 253 nt
Filed under: uncultured bacterium
Lineage: Bacteria
Description: partial 16S ribosomal RNA
Rfam family: Bacterial small subunit ribosomal RNA
Source: RNAcentral
UACGUAGGGUGCAAGCGUUGUCCGGAUUUAUUGGGCGUAAAGAGCUCGUAGGCGGUUUGUCGCGUCUGCCGUGAAAGUCCGGGGCUCAACUCCGGAUCUGCGGUGGGUACGGGCAGACUAGAGUGAUGUAGGGGAGACUGGAAUUCCUGGUGUAGCGGUGAAAUGCGCAGAUAUCAGGAGGAACACCGAUGGCGAAGGCAGGUCUCUGGGCAUUAACUGACGCUGAGGUGCGAAAGCGUGGGGAGCAAACAGG